GAUGAACGCUGGCGGCGUGCCUAAUACAUGCAAGUCGAGCGAACAGACGAGGAGCUUGCUCCUCUGACGUUAGCGGCGGACGGGUGAGUAACACGUGGAUAACCUACCUAUAAGACUGGGAUAACUUCGGGAAACCGGAGCUAAUACCGGAUAAUAUAUUGAACCGCAUGGUUCAAUAGUGAAAGACGGUUUUGCUGUCACUUAUAGAUGGAUCCGCGCCACAUUAGCUAGUUGGUAAGGUAACGGCUUACCAAGGCAACGAUGCGUAGCCGACCUGAGAGGGUGAUCGGCCACACUGGAACUGAGACACGGUCCAGACUCCUACGGGAGGCAGCAGUAGGGAAUCUUCCGCAAUGGGCGAAAGCUUGACGGAGCAACGCCGCGUGAGUGAUGAAGGUCUUCGGAUCUUAAAACUCUGUUAUUAGGGAAGAACAAAUGUGUAAGUAACUAUGCACGUCUUGACGGUACCUAAUCAGAAAGCCACGGCUAACUACGUG
This 497-nucleotide ribosomal RNA is filed under the name uncultured bacterium. Its description in RNAcentral is "partial 16S ribosomal RNA". It matches the Rfam family "Bacterial small subunit ribosomal RNA", at positions 28 to 507 of the family's 1533-position model. The record is from RNAcentral.